This 875-nucleotide ribosomal RNA is filed under the name uncultured marine group I thaumarchaeote. RNAcentral's name for it is "bacterial SSU rRNA". It matches the Rfam family "Archaeal small subunit ribosomal RNA", at positions 21 to 903 of the family's 1478-position model. The record is from RNAcentral. Lineage: Archaea; Thermoproteati; Nitrososphaerota.
CCUGACUGCUAUCGGAUUGAUACUAAGCCAUGCGAGUCAUUGUAGCAAUACAAGGCAGACGGCUCAGUAACGCGUAGUCAACCUAACCUAUGGACGGGAAUAACCUCGGGAAACUGAGUAUAAUGCCCGAUAGAACAUUAUGCCUGGAAUGGUUUAUGUUCCAAAUGAUUUAUCGCCGUAGGAUGGGACUGCGGCCUAUCAGUUUGUUGGUGAGGUAAUGGCCCACCAAGACUAUUACAGGUACGGGCUCUGAGAGGAGUGGCCCGGAGAUGGGUACUGAGACACGGACCCAGGCCCUAUGGGGCGCAGCAGGCGAGAAAACUUUGCAAUGUGCGAAAGCACGACAAGGUUAAUCCGAGUGGUUUCUGCUAAAGGAACCUUUUGUCAGUCCUAGAAACACUGAUGAAUAAGGGGUGGGCAAGUUCUGGUGUCAGCCGCCGCGGUAAAACCAGCACCUCAAGUGGUCAGGAUGAUUAUUGGGCCUAAAGCAUCCGUAGCCUGCUUUGUCAGUUUUCGGUUAAAUCCAUACGCUCAACGUAUGGGCUGCCGGGAAUACUGCAAAGCUAGGGAGUGGGAGAGGUAGACGGUACUCGGUAGGAAGGGGUAAAAUCCUUUGAUCUAUUGAUGACCACCUGUGGCGAAGGCGGUCUACCAGAACACGUCCGACGGUGAGGGAUGAAAGCUGGGGGAGCAAACCGGAUUAGAUACCCGGGUAGUCCCAGCUGUAAACUAUGCAAACUCAGUGAUGCAUUGGCUUGAUGCCAAUGCAGUGCUGCAGGGGAGCCGUUAAGUUUGCCGCCUGGGAAGUACGUACGCAAGUAUGAAACUUAAAGGAAUUGGCGGGGGAGCACCACAAGGGGUGAAGCCUGCGGUUC